CGGGCAGGGGAUACCCAUCGUUUACUGUGAAAAAAUUAGAGUGUUUAAAGCAGGCUUAUGCCGUUGAAUAUAUUAGCAUGGAAUAAUAAGAUAGGACUUCGGAACUAUUUUGUUGGUUUGCGUUACGAAGUAAUGAUUAAUAGGGACAGUUGGGGGUAUUCGUAUUUCAUUGUCAGAGGUGAAAUUCUUGGAUUUCUGAAAGACGAACUACUGCGAAAGCAUUUACCAAGGAUGUUUUCAUUAAUCAAGAACGAAAGUUAGGGGAUCGAAGAUGAUUAGAUACCAUCGUAGUCUUAACCAUAAACUAUGCCGACUCAGGAUUGGCGGUUGUUUUUUGACUCCGUCAGCACUGUAUGAGAAAUCAAAGUCUUUGGGUUCCGGGGGGAGUAUGGUCGCAAGGCUGAAACUUAAAGAAAUUGACGGAA
This 425-nucleotide ribosomal RNA is filed under the name Thalassiosira sp. RCC5578. RNAcentral's name for it is "SSU rRNA". It matches the Rfam family "Eukaryotic small subunit ribosomal RNA", at positions 731 to 1161 of the family's 1831-position model. The record is from RNAcentral. Lineage: Eukaryota; Bacillariophyta; Thalassiosirophyceae; Thalassiosirales; Thalassiosiraceae.